CUCGCCGCCGGACCGAAGGUCGAGUCGACGUCACGUCGACCGCACCGCCGGACCGGGACGAGACGAAAUGUGGCCGCAUGCACGGCUGAAUCGCAAA
Molecule: non-coding RNA, 97 nt
Filed under: unclassified sequences
Description: eL15-Euryarchaeota ribosomal protein leader
Rfam family: eL15-Euryarchaeota ribosomal protein leader (bases 48-97)
Source: RNAcentral